UACCAUGCAGUCGAGCGGAGAUGAGGUGCUUGCACCUUAUCUUAGCGGCGGACGGGUGAGUAAUGCUUAGGAAUCUGCCUAUUAGUGGGGGACAACAUUCCGAAAGGAAUGCUAAUACCGCAUACGUCCUACGGGAGAAAGCAGGGGAUCUUCGGACCUUGCGCUAAUAGAUGAGCCUAAGUCGGAUUAGCUAGUUGGUGGGGUAAAGGCCUACCAAGGCGACGAUCUGUAGCGGGUCUGAGAGGAUGAUCCGCCACACUGGGACUGAGACACGGCCCAGACUCCUACGGGAGGCAGCAGUGGGGAAUAUUGGACAAUGGGGGGAACCCUGAUCCAGCCAUGCCGCGUGUGUGAAGAAGGCCUUAUGGUUGUAAAGCACUUUAAGCGAGGAGGAGGCUACUGAGACUAAUACUCUUGGAUAGUGGACGUUACUCGCAGAAUAAGCACCGGCUAACUCUGUGCCAGCAGCCGCGGUAAUACAGAGGGUGCGAGCGUUAAUCGGAUUUACUGGGCGUAAAGCGUGCGUAGGCGGCUUUUUAAGUCGGAUGUGAAAUCCCCGAGCUUAACUUGGGAAUUGCAUUCGAUACUGGGAAGCUAGAGUAUGGGAGAGGAUGGUAGAAUUCCAGGUGUAGCGGUGAAAUGCGUAGAGAUCUGGAGGAAUACCGAUGGCGAAGGCAGCCAUCUGGCCUAAUACUGACGCUGAGGU
Molecule: ribosomal RNA, 706 nt
Filed under: uncultured bacterium
Lineage: Bacteria
Description: bacterial SSU rRNA
Rfam family: Bacterial small subunit ribosomal RNA
Source: RNAcentral